AGUGAACGCUGGCGGUAGGCCUAACACAUGCAAGUCGAACGGAAGCACAGUAAGAGCUUGCUCUUACGGGUGGCGCGUGGCGGACGGGUGAGGAAUACAUCGGGAUCUACUUUUUAGUGGGGGAUAACGUAGGGAAACUUACGCUAAUACCGCAUACGACCUACGGGUGAAAGCAGGGGACCUUCUGACCUGUCGGGAUUGAAUGAGCCGAUGACGGAUUAGCUAGUUGGCGGGGUAAAGGCCUACAAAGGCGACGAUCGGUAGCUGGUCUGAGGGGAUGAUCAGCCACCCGGGCACAGAGACACGGCCCAGACUCCUACGGUAGGCAGCAGUGGGGACUCUUGCACGAUGCGCGCGAGCCUAAUCCAGCCAUACCGCCGGGGUGAAGAAGCACUUCGGGUGCUAGAGCCAUUUUGUUGUUAAAGAAAUGCAGCUCUUUAACCCCCCGCGGUUAUGACGGUACCCGGAGAAUAAGCCCCGGCUAACUUCGUG
Molecule: ribosomal RNA, 492 nt
Filed under: uncultured bacterium
Lineage: Bacteria
Description: partial 16S ribosomal RNA
Rfam family: Bacterial small subunit ribosomal RNA
Source: RNAcentral